UGAAAUAGGAUUUAGGACAAGCGCUUUCUCCUUGUCGUUAACAUGUUGUUUACUUUACACUCAAUUGGCAUGGAAUCAGCUGCUUAGCGGUCAAAUGUUAGUGUAAUAUUAAUAACUUUAUUAUAACGUUACUAAAUAUUAAAACAGUGU
Sebastes umbrosus (honeycomb rockfish) is the source of this 150-nucleotide long non-coding RNA. RefSeq lists it as uncharacterized. The record is from RefSeq and is a predicted model, not a curated record. Lineage: Eukaryota; Metazoa; Chordata; Actinopteri; Perciformes; Sebastidae. The transcript has 3 exons.